AGAAUUAUGACAUUUAAAAUUGUUGUCCUCUUUAUGAUAGACUUUUCUAACAUAUUCUUCUAAUGAUACAUUAUCAAAUAGGAAGAUUGUGAGGAUGAGACUACUUAGGUACAUUUACAAGCCAUUAAAGACAAUCUAUGGUUUUGUAGUACUAAGUCCGGAAACUAAACUUUCGGCUUUUAUUUGUCAAGUGUUGGAU
Molecule: long non-coding RNA, 199 nt
Filed under: Malus domestica (apple)
Lineage: Eukaryota; Viridiplantae; Streptophyta; Magnoliopsida; Rosales; Rosaceae
Description: long non-coding RNA (MDOM_LNC009329)
Source: RNAcentral